This 194-nucleotide ribosomal RNA is filed under the name Phycisphaerae bacterium. Its description in RNAcentral is "partial 23S ribosomal RNA". It matches the Rfam family "Bacterial large subunit ribosomal RNA", at positions 2730 to 2925 of the family's 2925-position model. Lineage: Bacteria; Pseudomonadati; Planctomycetota; Phycisphaerae. The record is from RNAcentral.
CAAGUGCACCGCUGGGUAGCUACGUAUGGCAGGGAUAAACGCUGAAAGCAUCUAAGCGUGAAGCCCCCCCGAAGAUGAGGUUUGCUUGUCGUAAGACGAAAGACCCCUGGAAGACCACCAGGUUGAUCGGCCGCGCGUGUACGGGCAGAAAUGCCUUCAGCGGAGCGGUACGAACGGUCGAAUGUCUGAUCACC